Molecule: unclassified non-coding RNA, 246 nt
Filed under: uncultured Lasiosphaeriaceae
Lineage: Eukaryota; Fungi; Ascomycota; Sordariomycetes; Sordariales; Lasiosphaeriaceae
Description: sequence contains ITS2
Source: RNAcentral
AACGCACAUUGCGCCCGCUAGUAUUCUGGCGGGCAUGCCUGUUCGAGCGUCAUUUCAACCAUCAAGCGCCUGCGCUUGUGUUGGAGCCCUGCGGCUGCCGCAGGCUCCCAAACCCAGUGGCGGGCUCGUCGUCGUACCGAGUGCAGUAAAUUUACCACGCUCAGGGCACGCGACGGGUGACCGGCCGUAAAACCCCCCCUUCUCAAGGUUGACCUCGGAUCAGGUAGGAAUACCCGCUGAACUUAA